AUUAAACAUGAACUAAAAACAAGAAAACAAACGGAAAGAGGCGCGGGAGCCUUGCGCCUUGUAAGGCUGCGCAACCAUGCGCCUUAUAAGGCGCGCCAUACUCCGCACCUUGCUCAUUUUUCCUAAUUUAGACGGUGUUUGUUAGACCGUUCAAAUGUUGCCUUUUGGCAAUCACCUCAUUUUUGUUUUCUUUUUAGAAUUUUUGGCAAAUUUUCUUGCCUUUUAGGCUCCGACUUGUAUAAACUCCCUACACCUGGUUGAGAUAUUUCCCUGGUUGUCGCCACCAAAACUUCUGCGCUAUGAUUGAAUAGAAAACAACAAAUUAAACCAGUUGACUGCUCUAACUAUUGCCUAUAGUUCAUUCUACACUUUUCCCUCAUUGCCAACGGAAAAAUAUGGAAAAAGCUCUAUAAGGCCAUCUUUUGGGUAGCAUCCUGAACAAUUUUGUCAAAGGCGCGCUUAAGCGCUAUAGAGAGGCUCAAAGUAUGUUGAGCGCUUUGCCUCACUUCGUGUGCGCUUCAAUGUCAUCAUCAAGAUUUUAAGACAUACUUUUCCUUGCCAACAAGCCCUUUACGAAGAGGUGACAAGGCUUGGAAAAUGGAACAAGGUUCCACUCCCAGGUAGGUUCAUGCCCAAAGAGCCAUGACAAGGCUUGGGAGGGAGAUUGAGGAAAGCCACAAUGGUUUUAUGCUCCAAGACACGCUCAUUGCAAGAGAAGCUAAGCCAGGACAAGUUUCACCGAAUAAGUUUGCACCAAAAAAAGCCUGAUAACUGAAGAAAAAGACUCGACGAUGGGCUCACAUCCGAGUCCAACUGCGAGAGAUAAAGGACAAUGUUGAUCCCCUUCACUCUAUUUGAGUGCCUUUCCAAAUCCACCUCCUUUCUGCUACAAAAAACUCAAGUUGAUGCAAAAGGAUUCACAAUCUGAAGAAUAUAUCCUCUUCUGUACAUAAUUAUAAGCAUAAUAGACAAGGUGUACCACGUCAACGAACUCGAAACAAGGUGAAAUUCAAUUUAAACUUCAUCCUCGAACAGCCUAGUGCAGGAAGGAGAAACAAAAUCUUGACAAGUCAAAGUCCCCCAAAUCUUAGAAUCAGUGACUAUUCAAAGAAGAGAACCAGGUUGAAGGUCGACAUAUGGGUUAUUACAUUAAGCUUUAUAUACCGAAAAGAGUUUCUUUGUGUGGUACUAGCUUUGCGCAUUCUAUUGAAUGUUUUUAACAUAUGGAAGUACGUAUGCACCUGGACACCAGAAACAUGUAACUAACAACAUCUGGCUAUGACACAAAAUUCAUAGUCCAGAUAAGAGAUCUAGCUAAAAUUUAUUUACA
Solanum lycopersicum (tomato) is the source of this 1330-nucleotide long non-coding RNA. RefSeq lists it as uncharacterized. The record is from RefSeq and is a predicted model, not a curated record. NCBI's taxonomy places the organism in Eukaryota, Viridiplantae, Streptophyta, Magnoliopsida, Solanales, Solanaceae.